RNAcentral lists this ribosomal RNA (492 nucleotides) under uncultured bacterium. Its description in RNAcentral is "partial 16S ribosomal RNA". It matches the Rfam family "Bacterial small subunit ribosomal RNA", at positions 30 to 507 of the family's 1533-position model. The record is from RNAcentral.
AUUGAACGCUGGCGGCAUGCUUUACACAUGCAAGUCGAACGGUAACAGGCCUUCGGGUGCUGACGAGUGGCGAACGGGUGAGUAAUGCAUCGGAACGUACCCAGAGGUGGGGGAUAACGCAGCGAAAGCUGUGCUAAUACCGCAUGUGAUCUGAGGAUGAAAGCGGGGGACCGAGCAGCAAUGUUUGGCCUCGCGCCUUUGGAGCGGCCGAUGUCGGAUUAGCUAGUUGGUGGGGUAAAGGCCUACCAAGGCGACGAUCCGUAGCUGGUCUGAGAGGACGAUCAGCCACACUGGAACUGAGACACGGCCCAGACUCCUACGGGAGGCAGCAGUGGGGAAUUUUGGACAAUGGGCGCAAGCCUGAUCCAGCAAUGCCGCGUGCGGGAAGAAGGCCUUCGGGUUGUAAACCGCUUUUGGCAGGAACGAAACGGUGUCCGCUAAUACCGGGCGCUAAUGACGGUACCUGCAGAAUAAGCACCGGCUAACUACGUG